CAUGCAGUCGACGGUAACAUGACUCUCUAGUCCCUUCAGGGUGACUUUGUCACUGACGAGUGGCGGACGGGUGAGUAAUGUUUAGGAAUCUGCCCCGUAUCGGGGGAUAAGUCGAAAAAAUUCAAGCUCAUACCGCAAACCCCCUACGGGGGAAAGCGGGGGACCUUCGGGCCUCGCACAAUUGGAUGAUCCUGCGGCGGAUUAUCUUGUUGGUGAGGUAAUGGCUCACCAAGGCGACGAUCCGUACCUGGUCGGAAAUGAUGAUCAGCCACACUGGGACUGAGACACGGCCCAGACUCCUAUUGGAGGCAGCAGUGGGGCAUAUUGCACAAUGGGCGAAAGCCUGAUGCAGCCCUACCGCGUGGGUGAAGAAUGCCUUAGGGUUGUAAAGCCCUUUCAUCAUGCAUGAAAGGUGCGGGGUUAAUACCCCCGUAAUUUGACGGUACCUGAAUAAGAAGCACCGGCUAACUCCGUGCCAGUGCGCCGCGGUAAUACGGAGGGUGCAAGCGUUAAUCGGAAUCACUGGUUUGUAAAGCGCGCGUAGGCAGUCUGGUCAGUCAGAUGUGAAAGCCCCGGGCUUGACCUGGGACUCCACAUCUUGAUACUGCCAGACUAAAGUGUGGUAGUAGGGAAGUGGAAUUCCGCGUGUAGCGAGUGAACAUGCGUAGAGAUGCGCGAGGAACCAUGGAGUGGACGACUGACGACUUACCGUGCACAAAGCAGCUGGACUACUCAUGCUGCGAUUAGCAGUAGCGCGUAGCUAAAUCACGGAUUCAGUAUACCGCUGGUCAGAUCCCACCGCGUGUAGAGCUGAUGUACUACCUAUGCCGUAGCGGGAGCCUAUAGCUCUCUUGGUAGGACCGCGAGCUGAGCGCGUAUCAGGUAGCACCGGCCUAGGGAG
Molecule: ribosomal RNA, 901 nt
Filed under: uncultured Gammaproteobacteria bacterium
Lineage: Bacteria; Pseudomonadati; Pseudomonadota; Gammaproteobacteria
Description: bacterial SSU rRNA
Rfam family: Bacterial small subunit ribosomal RNA (bases 1-799)
Source: RNAcentral